AAGAUGGCAGUUCUGCUCACCCCUCUUCUCUAAGAAACAAAACCCAUCAUUUCAUGAUUUGCAGCCCUGAGAAGGACUUGGGGAUGAUAGUUUACAAGAAGCUCUGCAUGACCCAGCAAUGUGCACUUGUAGCCCAGGAAGCUGUAUGCUGGGCUACAUCAAAAGGAACAUGACCGGCAGGUCAAGGGAGGAGAUUGUCCCCCUCUACUCCACUCUUAUGGGAACCCACCUGGAGGACUGCAUUCAGUUCUUGGGGUCCCCAAUACAAAAAGGAUGUGGAUCUGCUUGAACAAGUCCAGAGGACGGCCACAAAGAUGAUCAGAGGGCUGGAGCACCUCUCCAUUGAUGACAGGCAGAGAGAGCUGGGCUUCUUCAGCCUGGAGAAGAGAAGGCUGAAAGUAAAAAACACAGAACUGCACCAGCUACUAAGGAGAAAAAUGACUUCUACAGCUGAACCAAGGACAGUAUCCACCCCUUAUUCCAUACCAUCCAGGUCAUGCUCAGAUCCAAAAUUUUCAAUAUACCAUUGCUUUUUGUCUCUUAAUAUAUAUACAUAUAUGCACACACAAAGAGAGGUAUAUCAUAACUUAUUCCAUGGACCAUCUUUAUAAAUUUGCUGAAUUCAUGAAGUCCAUGAUGUCAGGCUCCAUCUCUUGUAAACGUCUUUCAGGGCAGGAGAGACAAUGUGUAGUGUUGCAUUGUUACCUGCUGACGACACGGCUGAAUUCAUCAGGUCACUGCUGAUCUUGUCUGGUUUCAUCAAAGCUCACUGGCUAUUUUCACCCAAAGUUAAAUCCCCUUGAGGUGUCAGCUGUGAUGCAUGCUUAAAAGGAAAUUUUCGAGGUCGCAGAUACAAGUGUUUAAUUUGCUACGAUUAUGAUUUAUGUGCAACUUGUUAUGAAAGUGGUGCAACAACAACGAGGCAUACAACUGACCAUCCAAUGCAGUGCAUACUAACAAGAGUAGAUUUUGGUACAAGGCCCUGGCUUUGGUAGAUGAAGCACAUAAUGAGAAAGAGGAGGAACAUGUGCAAGCAGUCUUGCCACAGUAAAUGAGACCAACCUCACAACAAAACCUGCAGUGAAACCAGUGCCGAGAAGAAACAAUGACAAGUUAUGGUCAUUGGUGAUUCCCUCCUGUGCAGAAUGGAAGCACCUGUUUACAGACCAGACCCUCUUUUCAGGGAAGUUUGUUGCCUGGGGCCCAAAUUAGAAACAUCACCACAAGACUGAAGGUUGAACUAGGCUCUUCAAACUGCUAUCCCUGCUCCUUCAUGUGGGUACAAAUGAUGUUGCAACAAAAAGUUUGAGGUCAAUCAAAAGAGACUUCAGAGCCCUGGGAAGAAUGUUAAAACAUUCAACUUGCCAGGCAUUAACUGGGAAUACCAUACUGCUGUGAUGAGCAGGUCUUGGAAAUUCUUGAAGUUUGUAGGAGAUAAUUUCUUGUCACAGGUACUCAGUAACCAACUAGGAAAGAUGCCAUUGUAGACUUGUUAUUUAUGAAUAGAGAAGAACUUGUGGGGGAUGUGAUAACAGGUGGCUGUCUUGGACACAGUGAUCACACAAUGGUUGAGUUUAAUGUUUUUGGUGUAAUGAGAAAAAAGGACAGCAGAGUUGCUACCCUGGACUUCAGAAGAGUAAACUAAGCUACUCAGGGAGCUACUUAGCAGCGUCCCCUGGGAAUCUGCUUUUCAGGGCUUAGGAGUCCAUGAAUGCUGGAAGCAUUCCACCUUUUAGAAGCACAGAAGCAGGCAAUUCCAGUGUGUUACAAGUCAAGCAAGCAGGGUAGGAGACCACCUUGGCUGAACAGGGAACUCCUUGUGGAGCUUGAGGAAAAAGAAAUUAAAUGAUCUCUGGAAGCAAGGUUAGGCUUUGCAGGAAGAUUACAGAGCCAUGGUUCAUAUAUGCAGGGAGAAGACACAAAAGACCAAAUCUCAACUAGAGUUGAAAGUAGCCAGUGUUGGGUCAGACAACAAGAAAGGCUUUUUUUUCAGUAUGUUAAUAGCAAAAAGAGGUCUAAAGAAAACAUAAGACCAGUGCUUGUUGAAGAUGGUCACCUGACAAGUAGGGAUGGAAAAAAAAAGCAGAAGCAUUCAGUGCUUUCUUUGCCUCAUUCUUUUAAUAAUACUGAUAGAUCUUG
This is a long non-coding RNA of Pezoporus flaviventris, 2139 nucleotides long. RefSeq lists it as uncharacterized. The transcript is spliced from 3 exons. The record is from RefSeq and is a predicted model, not a curated record. NCBI's taxonomy places the organism in Eukaryota, Metazoa, Chordata, Aves, Psittaciformes, Psittacidae.